CGGUGAUCCUGGUGCUUGCACCGGGUGAUCAGUGGCGAACGGGUGAGUAACACGUGAGUAACCUGCCCCAGACUCUGGGAUAACUUCGGGAAAUCGGAGCUAAUACCGGAUACGAGACGCACACGCAUGUGUAGCGUCUGGAAAGAAUUUCGGUCUGGGAUGGACUCGCGGCCUAUCAGCUUGUUGGUGGGGUAAUGGCCUACCAAGGCGACGACGGGUAGCCGGCCUGAGAGGGCGACCGGCCACACUGGGACUGAGACACGGCCCAGACUCCUACGGGAGGCAGCAGUGGGGAAUAUUGCACAAUGGGCGCAAGCCUGAUGCAGCGACGCCGCGUGGGGGAUGAAGGCCUUCGGGUUGUAAACCCCUUUCAGCAGGGAAGAAGCGAGAGUGACGGUACCUGCAGAAGAAGCGCCGGCUAACUACGUGCCAGCAGCCGCGGUAAUACGUAGGGCGCAAGCGUUGUCCGGAAUUAUUGGGCGUAAAGAGCUCGUAGGCGGUUUGUCGCGUCUGCUGUGAAAACCCGAGGCUCAACCUCGGGCCUGCAGUGGGUACGGGCAGACUAGAGUGCGGUAGGGGAGACUGGAAUUCCUGGUGUAGCGGUGGAAUGCGCAGAUAUCAGGAGGAACACCGAUGGCGAAGGCAGGUCUCUGGGCCGCAACUGACGCUGAGGAGCGAAAGCAUGGGGAGCGAACAGGAUUAGAUACCCUGGUAGUCCAUGCCGUAAACGUUGGGCACUAGGUGUGGGGCUCAUUCCACGAGUUCCGUGCCGCAGCAAACGCAUUAAGUGCCCCGCCUGGGGAGUAC
Molecule: ribosomal RNA, 807 nt
Filed under: Actinotalea sp.
Lineage: Bacteria; Bacillati; Actinomycetota; Actinomycetes; Micrococcales; Cellulomonadaceae
Description: bacterial SSU rRNA
Rfam family: Bacterial small subunit ribosomal RNA
Source: RNAcentral